AAAACACCCAACCACGAAGGUAAGCUGGCGGAGCCACCGCACCAGAGAACCCUGCCGCUGGUAAGCUUCAGUUUUUCAAUUUUUUCCAGCUAACCGAGGCCUCUUAACGUGUUUUCUCGCAGGGAUGGUACAAAAUCGACUGAAAUCGACCAAAAAGGCCAAAAAUAGCCAACUCAAGGCAAACAACCGCCGCGAGCAACAGUGCUGUCGUCGGAGCACGG
RNAcentral lists this long non-coding RNA (221 nucleotides) under Carica papaya (papaya). RNAcentral describes it as "long non-coding RNA (CPAP_LNC001371)". The record is from RNAcentral. Lineage: Eukaryota; Viridiplantae; Streptophyta; Magnoliopsida; Brassicales; Caricaceae.